Molecule: long non-coding RNA, 1225 nt
Organism: Dermacentor silvarum
Lineage: Eukaryota; Metazoa; Arthropoda; Arachnida; Ixodida; Ixodidae
Exons: 3
Source: RefSeq, a predicted model, not a curated record
UGGGGAUGAUUUUCUCCGCCACGGACGCCGACGACGGAUUUUCUUCGACACGGGGCCCUUAACGCUAUCGCGUUAAAAUAGUAUGGCGGUUGGGUUUGUCAUGUGCAUUCCUUGGCUUCGGUUAUUGUCUCCCGUCAGAAAUUGCGGAAUCACGGGCCCUUCUGCACAACCUAUUGUGUUGCACUUUGUUCCUGCGGUUUGCUUUUUCGCUCAGAUAAGACAUUGUAUUUAUUUCGCCUUUUCCAGAAUGAUUCCAGUGAACAGAAGAAUUCCAGUGAACAUUUCUGGCGCUCUGUCAAGAUUGCUCUUCACGUAGUGUGAAGAGCGCGGUGGGCCGUAUACUUCAUUGAGUCCGGUGCCGAGUCUCGCGAGAUCUCGAGAAAGUGAAAUCAUUGUAAGUGAUCGCCCAAGAAUACGCUCUUACCUAUGCUAAACGAUGAAAAACAGAAAGAUAAAGGCAUACUACCAAUGGCGGUCACAAGUGGGGCUGGUUGUAAUGUCGUUUUCAUUUACUAGAUUGCACCUGACGUCAUAAUAUUCGAGGGAAGCGCCCAUAGAAGUGUCGAUGUCUUCCUCUGCCGAACAAGAAGGCGGCAGAUGUCAUGAUGAGUUAUACUCCUAGGAGUACUCUACACGGCUGAUAAGCUACAAUUUACCAUAGACCAUGGCAGCCUUUGACGGUGUGCCGAAUAGAACUGCAAGGCUUCGCGUCCCCAUCUCUUUCAGCGUGCUUCUCACGUACACGUGCGAUGUCUUUUCUUUUUUCAACGAUGCCAUGAACGAACGGCGCGAGUGGUCGUGUCGGACACCAAUCUGUCAAGCAAUGACGAUGCUGGCCUUUCGUGCAUCGUCACCAGGACCAGCGGGGGAGGAAUCACUGUGGCCGACAGUGCUAGCCCGACCAGCAAGACCUGGUGGUCAGCUGUUCUAGAGGCCUGGUGACUUGCCCGCCCUGUGGAUAUGGUGGCCAGCUGUUCUAGCGACCUGGUAUCAUGCUGUCUGCCCUGCGCUCCUUGUGGCAAGAUCUUGCAGUGCCUGCUGCCUUGCUGCGUGACUUGCGGAUCUUGUGGCUAGCUCUUCAAGCGACCUGCGGACCAAGUGGAUGGUAGCUCUGGUGCCCUGGUGUCUCGUUGCAUGUCCUGCGGACCUGGCAGCAAGAAAUUCAAGUGGCGUGGUAUGCUGCUCAUCACAAGAUCGCAAGCGCGGCAUGGAAUCACAAGAGGCA